Molecule: ribosomal RNA, 401 nt
Filed under: uncultured bacterium
Lineage: Bacteria
Description: bacterial SSU rRNA
Rfam family: Bacterial small subunit ribosomal RNA
Source: RNAcentral
AACGAACGCUGGCGGCGUGGAUAAGACAUGCAAGUCGAACGGGAUAACAUCUGUAGCAAUACAGGUGCUAUUUAGUGGCGAACGGGUGCGUAACACGUGGGCAAUCUGCCGAGAAGUGGGGGAUAGCUCGCCGAAAGGGCGAAUUAAUACCGCAUAUGAUCAGCUAAAGACAUCUUAGCGACAUCAAAGCCGGGGCAACCUGGCGCUUCUUGAUGAGCCCGCGGCCUAUCAGCUAGUUGGUGAGGUAACGGCUCACCAAGGCUAUGACGGGUAGCUGGUCUGAGAGGACGACCAGUCACACUGGAACUGAGACACGGUCCAGACACCGUACGGGUGGCAGCAGUCGAGUAAUUUUUCUCAAGUCGGGGAAACCCUGAAGGAGCGACGCCGCGUGGAGGAUG